GGCACGUUGGUGGAUUGAACGGGAAGGUGUGGACAUCAGUGGGACCACCAGACAUCUUGGUGCCCAGGAGAUUCUGAAGCUGCUGGUCUGCAGGCCUCUUGUUGAGCAGCACGGAUUGAAUACUGGUGGUUGCUUUUUGUUUUGCUUUGUUUUGCCGGAAUAAAGAAUAGGCCACCCACCACUGGUCGUUUCUGCUCUACAGAAGGUACUCGUCUUUCUCCACCACAGAAGGGACGCCUGCAGUCACUGGAAAAUGUCUAGGUAGCACCUUGGGCCUUGGUGGAGUGUCGUAUUUAUGUGACACGAACAGGACACGAGCUUUCCAUCACAUACACACAUAAUGCCGGAAUCUUCCAUGUGGAAGAAGAUGGAGUG
Long non-coding RNA from Suricata suricatta (meerkat), 375 nucleotides. RefSeq lists it as uncharacterized. The transcript has 3 exons. The record is from RefSeq and is a predicted model, not a curated record. Lineage: Eukaryota; Metazoa; Chordata; Mammalia; Carnivora; Herpestidae.